UGUGUCGAUUUAUAGUGUAGUCAU
RNAcentral lists this non-coding RNA (24 nucleotides) under Arabidopsis thaliana (thale cress). The record is from RNAcentral. Lineage: Eukaryota; Viridiplantae; Streptophyta; Magnoliopsida; Brassicales; Brassicaceae.